RNAcentral lists this long non-coding RNA (567 nucleotides) under Parus major (Great Tit). Its description in RNAcentral is "lncRNA (ENSPMJG00000018393.1)". Lineage: Eukaryota; Metazoa; Chordata; Aves; Passeriformes; Paridae. The record is from RNAcentral.
UGAGAGGAGCACAUUGAAUCUUUUUAUUGGUACUAUUUAUUAAGCCAAUUAAACAUUUUGAUUUUCUAGAUGUUCCUGAUGCCAAGGUUGCAGUUCCACCUCAAAAACCAGCUGAAGCUGCCCCUAUUCCCAUUCUUCUGCCUCUUGUUCCACCUCCAGAGGAGAAAAAGCCAGAGAAAAAGGUUCCAUUAAAGAAAGUACCCCAAAAGGUGGUUAAAAAAGCCCCUGAAGAAGUCCCACCACCUAAAGUUCCUGAGGUGGUACCAGAGAAGCCUAAAGAGGUCAAAAUAACAUCCAUGGCAAGGAGAGAAGAAAUACAUGAAGAAAAGAAAAUACAUGAAAUGCCCAAAGAAAUUUAUGAAGAAUGGGAAGAAGAUUAUGGUGAAGACCAUGACUAUUAUGUCAAGGAAGAGGGCUAUGAUGAAGGGGAAGAGGAAUGGGAAGAAGCUUAUGAGAAAAGAGAAGUGACUUAUGAAGAAAAAAGAAUAAUUCAUGAGGAAGGUAUUUGAAUUAUUAUGUCAUUUUCUCCUAUUUAUUAUUAAGGCCCCAACAUUUUGAAGUAGGCAA